This 1463-nucleotide ribosomal RNA is filed under the name uncultured Enterobacter sp. Its description in RNAcentral is "bacterial SSU rRNA". It matches the Rfam family "Bacterial small subunit ribosomal RNA". The record is from RNAcentral. Lineage: Bacteria; Pseudomonadati; Pseudomonadota; Gammaproteobacteria; Enterobacterales; Enterobacteriaceae.
AUUGAACGCUGGCGGCAGGCCUAACACAUGCAAGUCGAACGGUAGCACAGAGAGCUUGCUCUCGGGUGACGAGUGGCGGACGGGUGAGUAAUGUCUGGGAAACUGCCUGAUGGAGGGGGAUAACUACUGGAAACGGUAGCUAAUACCGCAUAACGUCGCAAGACCAAAGAGGGGGACCUUCGGGCCUCUUGCCAUCAGAUGUGCCCAGAUGGGAUUAGCUAGUAGGUGGGGUAACGGCUCACCUAGGCGACGAUCCCUAGCUGGUCUGAGAGGAUGACCAGCCACACUGGAACUGAGACACGGUCCAGACUCCUACGGGAGGCAGCAGUGGGGAAUAUUGCACAAUGGGCGCAAGCCUGAUGCAGCCAUGCCGCGUGUAUGAAGAAGGCCUUCGGGUUGUAAAGUACUUUCAGCGGGGAGGAAGGUGUUGUGGUUAAUAACCGCAGCAAUUGACGUUACCCGCAGAAGAAGCACCGGCUAACUCCGUGCCAGCAGCCGCGGCAAUACGGAGGGUGCAAGCGUUAAUCGGAAUUACUGGGCGUAAAGCGCACGCAGGCGGUCUGUCAAGUCGGAUGUGAAAUCCCCGGGCUCAACCUGGGAACUGCAUUCGAAACUGGCAGGCUGGAGUCUUGUAGAGGGGGGUAGAAUUCCAGGUGUAGCGGUGAAAUGCGUAGAGAUCUGGAGGAAUACCGGUGGCGAAGGCGGCCCCCUGGACAAAGACUGACGCUCAGGUGCGAAAGCGUGGGGAGCAAACAGGAUUAGAUACCCUGGUAGUCCACGCCGUAAACGAUGUCGAUUUGGAGGUUGUGCCCUUGAGGCGUGGCUUCCGGAGCUAACGCGUUAAAUCGACCGCCUGGGGAGUACGGCCGCAAGGUUAAAACUCAAAUGAAUUGACGGGGGCCCGCACAAGCGGUGGAGCAUGUGGUUUAAUUCGAUGCAACGCGAAGAACCUUACCUGGUCUUGACAUCCACAGAACUUUCCAGAGAUGGAUUGGUGCCUUCGGGAACUGUGAGACAGGUGCUGCAUGGCUGUCGUCAGCUCGUGUUGUGAAAUGUUGGGUUAAGUCCCGCAACGAGCGCAACCCUUAUCCUUUGUUGCCAGCGGUUAGGCCGGGAACUCAAAGGAGACUGCCAGUGAUAAACUGGAGGAAGGUGGGGAUGACGUCAAGUCAUCAUGGCCCUUACGACCAGGGCUACACACGUGCUACAAUGGCGCAUACAAAGAGAAGCGACCUCGCGAGAGCAAGCGGACCUCAUAAAGUGCGUCGUAGUCCGGAUUGGAGUCUGCAACUCGACUCCAUGAAGUCGGAAUCGCUAGUAAUCGUAGAUCAGAAUGCUACGGUGAAUACGUUCCCGGGCCUUGUACACACCGCCCGUCACACCAUGGGAGUGGGUUGCAAAAGAAGUAGGUAGCUUAACCUUCGGGAGGGCGCUUACCACUUUGUGAUUCAUGACUGGGGUGA